GCUUUCUGCAUAAAUAAGUACAUAGUAAAAUAGGAAACUAUGGCCAGAUGAGGAGGAACUCUCAGCAUGUGCCAUCUUUUCUAGGGUCUUCUCUGUUGGGGCUAUAGUCAGUGCUGAUGCUCACCAGACCCCUGGAGAUCUGAAUGACUCCACCUAGAUUCCAGACCAGGAAGCCAGGUGGUAAAGAGGUGGCCUGACACGGCUCGUUGGUUGUGGACUGUCCAAAGCUGCCUCUCUCCAUAGCCCUGUGCUGCCUUCUGGUGCUGAAGGUCCACCUGUCCUGUGCUCCUGCCCAGUGGUGUGGCCAAGUGUUUGCUCCAAUGGCUGCUGCAGGGAUCUUCCUGAGUCCUCUCCUCUGCCAAAUGCAUCGCCCACUGAAACAUCCUUCCUGUGACACGCUUUAUAACUCUUUCUGCUCCAAACCUCCUAUCUGGGAACGAAGAACAACACUUGUUGCCUGUCCUCUGGCCACCUCCCAGCUCAGAGAUUGUCUCCUCUCCACCUGCAACCAGGAUUUGUCUGGGAUCUUGUCUCCUGGAGCAGGGUUUCCAGCCUCGUGCAAGAGCCACCAUCACCAUGUGAGGCCCUCGAACCCUGCAGAGGUGGAGCCAGGGCCGGAGCCUGGCAGAAGCAGGAUGCAACCCCUAAGAGAGGGAUCCUGGGCAGACUGCCCUGGGCACAGAGGGCAGAGCAUGACCAGGCUAGGCCGGGGAGGGCGGGGCCUCCAGAAGCCAGGAGACUAGACCCUGACGUGUGGAUGGCUGGUGGAGACCUGAGGGUGAGGGUUAAGUGGUCCAACAGACGGCUCUUCAUGAUCCUUAGAGAGAAAGUGCAAACAUUUGAUGCUUUCUUUCCUUCUUAGAUUUAAAGGGUUUCCUAUUAGGUGUCAAGGGAUGCUGCUAGCUCCACCUUAUUAUGUUUCUGGGCAAACCUACUGGACUUCUGUUCCUUUAUUCAUCUGAUCAGCACAAUCCAAGAUAAGCUGUCAUUGGAAAUGGGAUGAAGGGCCAGGGGUGAAAUCUUGGACUGUUCAAGAGGUAGUUUCCAGGGAUAAAGCAGAUUGCAAAUGUCAAUGUGGGAAUGAAAUUUCUGCACACAAAAUCUCCCCCGACCCAGCAACAACCUGCUCUGCACAUGUGGAUGGCAGAAUUCCUGAUGUGUGACAUCCUGGCUUGGUCCCCUUCAAUUUCCUUAUGAGGGCAUCACACCUGGAUCCAGUUGGCACCUCCGAAUUAUUGAAGUGAAUGUUAUUACUUGGAUAAUCAGAAGCAAAAGUUAUUCCUUAAAAUAAAUCCUUUUUCCCAGAAAAUCCAAACCCAAACAGCGUUUCAACAAAUCUCAGAUCUUCUUUCAUCCUGAAUGUGAAGAGCAGGUGGUGUUGAUAUUUUGUUAGCAUUUUGUCCUAAGUUUCUUGGCCACAGUUCCUCUUAUUUUAUUUUCUUGUGCCGAUACUUAAGUAUUGAGAAUUCUUUCUUACAAUGAAGUUUCCAGGUCACAGAAAGCCAGCGUUGAUCAAUGUGGAGGCUUAGGCUUUGAGGAGCUCUUGGUUAGGGCCCAACAAGGUGAUCAGAAUGGAAUCGGAACCACCCACCGUGGGCCUUGGGGACGGAGGGCAACUUCCGAUUCUUAGCAAUUCAAGUAUUUCGG
Molecule: long non-coding RNA, 1647 nt
Filed under: Marmota monax (woodchuck)
Lineage: Eukaryota; Metazoa; Chordata; Mammalia; Rodentia; Sciuridae
Source: RNAcentral